RNAcentral lists this ribosomal RNA (423 nucleotides) under uncultured bacterium. Its description in RNAcentral is "bacterial SSU rRNA". It matches the Rfam family "Bacterial small subunit ribosomal RNA", at positions 506 to 927 of the family's 1533-position model. The record is from RNAcentral.
GGCCAGCAGCCGCGGUAAUACGUAGGGGGCGAGCGUUGUCCGGAUUUACUGGGCGUAAAGAGCGCGUAGGCGGCUUGUUAAGUUGGCUGUGAAAGUCCCUGGCCUAACUGGGGAAAGUCGGCCGAGACUGGCAGGCUAGAGAGCGGUAGAGGAAGGUGGAAUUCCGGGUGUAGUGGUGAAAUGCGUAGAUAUCCGGAGGAACACCGGUGGCGAAGGCGGCCUUCUGGGCCGUUUCUGACGCUGAGGCGCGAAAGCGUGGGGAGCGAACCGAAUUAGAUACUCGGGUAGUCCACGCCCUAAACGAUGGACGCUAGGUGUAGGGGGUAUCGACCCCUCCUGUGCCGAAGCAAACGCAUUAAGCGUCCCGCCUGGGGAGUACGGCCGCAAGGCUAAAACUCAAAGGAAUUGACGGGGGCCCGCACA